RNAcentral lists this ribosomal RNA (283 nucleotides) under uncultured Geobacter sp. RNAcentral's name for it is "partial 16S ribosomal RNA". It matches the Rfam family "Bacterial small subunit ribosomal RNA", at positions 1100 to 1382 of the family's 1533-position model. Lineage: Bacteria; Pseudomonadati; Thermodesulfobacteriota; Desulfuromonadia; Geobacterales; Geobacteraceae. The record is from RNAcentral.
AACCCCUAUCCUCAGUUGCCAUCAUUAAUUGGGGCACUCUGUGGAGACUGCCCGGUGGUCAAACCGGAGGAAGGUGGGGAUGACGUCAAGUCCUCAUGGCCCUUAUGACCAGGGCUACACACGUGCUACAAUGGCCGGUACAAAGAGUUGCGAUACAGCGAUGUGGAGCUAAUCUCAUAAAGCCGGUCUCAGUUCGGAUUGGAGUCUGCAACUCGACUCCAUGAAGUUGGAAUCGCUAGUAAUCGCGGAUCAGCACGCCGCGGUGAAUACGUUCCCGGGCCUU